This 308-nucleotide ribosomal RNA is filed under the name uncultured bacterium. Its description in RNAcentral is "partial 16S ribosomal RNA". It matches the Rfam family "Bacterial small subunit ribosomal RNA", at positions 505 to 809 of the family's 1533-position model. The record is from RNAcentral.
GAGACAGCAGUAGCCGCGGUAAUACGAAGGGGGCUAGCGUUGCUCGGAAUUACUGGGCGUAAAGCGCGCGCAGGCGGUUCUCCAAGUCAGUGGUGAAAGCCCGGAGCUCAACUCCGGAACUGCCAUUGAAACUGUUGAACUUGAGGACGAGAGAGGUGAGUGGAAUUCCCAGUGUAGAGGUGAAAUUCGUAGAUAUUGGGAAGAACACCGGUGGCGAAGGCGGCUCACUGGCUCGUAUCUGACGCUCAGGCGCGAUAGCGUGGGGAUCAAACAGGAUUAGAUACCCCAGUAGCCCUGUCUCUUAUACA